Molecule: ribosomal RNA, 1389 nt
Filed under: uncultured organism
Description: SSU rRNA
Rfam family: Bacterial small subunit ribosomal RNA
Source: RNAcentral
CCUAACACAUGCAAGUCGAACGAGACCUUCAGGUCUAGUGGCGCACGGGUGCGUAACGCGUGGGAACCUGCCUUUAGGUUCGGAAUAACUCACAUAAAUUUGAGCUAAUACCGGAUAAUGUCUUCGGACCAAAGAUUUAUCGCCUUUAUAUGGGCCCGCGUUGGAUUAGCUAGUUGGUGGGGUAAAGGCCUACCAAGGCGACGAUCCAUAGCUGGUCUGACAGGAUGAUCAGCCACACUGGGACUGAGACACGGCCCAGACUCCUACCGGAGGCAGCACUGAGGAAUAUUGGACAAUGGGCGAAAGCCUGAUCCAGCAAUGCCUCGUGAGUGAUGAAGGCCUUAGGGUUGUAAAGCUCUUUUACCAGGGAUGAUAAUGACAGUACCUGAAGAAUAAUCUCCGGCUAACUCCGUGCCAGCAGCCGCGGGAAUACGGAGGGAGCUAGCGUUGUUCAUAAUUACUGUGCGUAAAGCGCACGUAGGCGGCUUUUUAAGAUCAGGGGUGAAAUCCCGGGUCUCAACCCCGGAACUGCCCUUGAAACUGGGAAGCUAGAAUCUUGGAGAGGCGAGUGGAAUUCCGAGUGUAGAGGUGAAAUUCGUAGAUAUUCGGAAGAACACCAGUGGCGAAGGCGACUCGCUGGACAAGUAUUGACGCUGAGGUGCGAAAGCGUGGGGAGCAAACAGGAUUAGAUACCGUGGUAGUCCACGCCGUAAACGAUGAUAACUAGCUGUCAUGGUUCAUGUAACUUAGGUGGUGCAGCUAACGCAUUAAGUUAUCCGCCUGGGGAGUACGGUGGCAAGAUUAAAACUCAAAGGAAUUGACGGGGGUCUGCACAAGCGGUGGAGCAUGUGGUUUAAUUCGAAGCAUCGCGCAGAACCUUACCAGCCUUUGACAUCCUAGGACGACUUCUGGAGACAGAUUUCUUCCGUUAGGGGACAUAGUGACAGGUGAUGCAUGGCUGUCGUCAGCUUGUGUUGUGAGAUGUAGGGUUAAGUCCCGCAACGAGCGCAACCCUAGUCCUUAUUUGCCAUCAUUAAGUUGGGCACUUUAAGGAAACUGCCGGUGAUAAGCCGGAGGAAGGUGGGGAUGAGGUCAAGUCCUCAUGUCCCUUUCAGGCUGGGCUACUCGCGUGCUACAAUGGCAUAUACAGUGGGCAGCUAUUCAGCAAGGGUGCGAUAAUAUCCAAAAGAUGUUUUAGUUUGGAUUGUCCUCUGCAACUCGAGGGCAUGAAGUCGGAAUCGCUGGUAAUCGCGGAUCAGCACGUCGCGGUGAAUGCGUUCCCAGGCUUUGUACACCCCGCCCGUCACACCAUGCGAGUCGGAUUCACCGGAAGGCAGUGCGCUAACCGCAAGGAGGCAUCUGACCACGGUGGGUUCAGCGACUGGGGCG